This 301-nucleotide ribosomal RNA is filed under the name uncultured bacterium. RNAcentral's name for it is "partial 16S ribosomal RNA". It matches the Rfam family "Bacterial small subunit ribosomal RNA", at positions 509 to 809 of the family's 1533-position model. The record is from RNAcentral.
CAGCCGCCGCGGUAAUACGUAGGGUGCAAGCGUUAAUCGGAAUUACUGGGCGUAAAGCGUGCGCAGGCGGUUUGUUAAGUCUGCUGUGAAAUCCCCGGGCUCAACCUGGGAAUGGCAGUGGAUACUGGCUCGCUAGAGUGUGUCAGAGGAUGGUGGAAUUCCCGGUGUAGCGGUGAAAUGCGUAGAGAUCGGGAGGAACAUCAGUGGCGAAGGCGGCCAUCUGGGACAACACUGACGCUGAGGCACGAAAGCGUGGGGAGCAAACAGGAUUAGAUACCCCUGUAGUCCCUGUCUCUUAUAA